CUGGAAGAAUCUGGAGACAGGUGCUGCAUGGCUGUCGUCAGCUCGUGUCGUGAGAUGUUGGGUUAAGUCCCGCAACGAGCACAACCCUUGCCUUUAGUUGCCAGCAGUUCGGCUGGGCACUCUAAAGGGACUGCCGGUGUUAAACCGGAGGAAGGUGGGGAUGACGUCAAGUCCUCAUGGCCUUUAUGACCAGGGCUACACACGUACUACAAUGGCCGAUACAAAGGGCAGCGACACUGCGAAGUGAAGCCAAUCCCGUAAAAUCGGUCUCAGUCCGGAUUGGAGUCUGCAACUCGACUCCAUGAAGUUGGAAUCGCUAGUAAUCGUGGAUCAGCAUGCCACGGUGAAUACGUUCCCGGGCCUU
RNAcentral lists this ribosomal RNA (364 nucleotides) under uncultured Desulfobulbus sp. Its description in RNAcentral is "bacterial SSU rRNA". It matches the Rfam family "Bacterial small subunit ribosomal RNA", at positions 1017 to 1382 of the family's 1533-position model. Lineage: Bacteria; Pseudomonadati; Thermodesulfobacteriota; Desulfobulbia; Desulfobulbales; Desulfobulbaceae. The record is from RNAcentral.